AUGGGCCGCGGCGGUGCGUGCGGCGUCGCCUCACUCUUCUUGGCGGUGGCAGUGGCGGCGGCGGCCUGCUGCGCGGCGGCGGCGCAGGAGCCCAACACGGACGCCUACUUCGUCGCGCGCUUCUACGCCAAGAUGGGCCUCGCGGCGCCGCCGUCGGGCGCCGGCGCGGUGUGCUCCUGGCCCGGGGUGUCGUGCGACGGCGAGGGGCGGGUGCUGGCGUUCGCCGCCGCCGGGAUGGGCCUGUCGGGCCCCAUCCCGGAGGACACGGUGGGGAAGCUCGCCAGGCUGCGCUCGCUGGAUCUCAGCGCCAACCGCCUCACCGCGCUCCCCAACGACCUCUGGGAGCUGGGCGCCUCGCUGCGGACCCUCAACCUCUCCCGCAACGCCAUCAGCGGCGCGCUCCCCAACAACGUCGGCAACUUCGCGCGCCUCCAGGUGCUCGACGUCUCCCACAACGCCUUCUCCGGCGCGCUGCCGCCGGCGCUCGGCUCCAUUACCGGCCUGCAGGUCCUCAACGCCAGCCACAACCAGUUCCAAGGCCAGGUCCCUAGCGCCGGGGGGAGCCUCGUCUCCAUGGAUCUCUCCGGCAAUGCGCUGGACGGCGACCUGCCUGAACUGUCGCCGCUGCGGUCGCUGGCCUACCUCAACCUGUCCGGCAACCAGCUCCGCGGCUCCAUUAUCGGGGCGUUCCAGGAGCAGUUGAGGGUCAUAGACCUUAGCAACAACCGCUUCUCGCGGUUGAAUUUUAGCAGUGGGUAUUCUGGUACGUCCCUCAUGUACCUCGACCUGUCAAGUAACGAGCUUCUCGGGGAAUUCGGCCUCCCUGGCCGGUUCCGGAACCUGAGGCACAUGAAUCUUGCAUUCAACCAGUUGUCCACGAACAAUUUGCUGGCGUCCAUUGGUGAGAUUUCUUCAUUGGAGUAUGUCAAUCUGUCAAGCACUGGGUUGCAUGAGCGAAUCCCUGGGGUGUUGGCUUCCCGGUUGGUUGGCUUACAUGUGCUGGAUUUGUCACGGAACAAUGUCAGCGGGGUAGUGCCGGACAUGAGCGCUUUGCCGCUGCGGGUGCUGGACCUGUCGGUGAACAACCUCACUGGGGAAAUCCCCGUGUCACUGGUCAAGAAAUUGGUGUCAAUGGAUCGAUUCAACUUCUCAUACAACAAUCUCACCGUCUGCGCCUCCGAGCUCUCCCCGGAGGCGUUUGCAGCCGCAUUUGCUAGGUCCAGGAAUGACUGCCCGAUUGCUGUAAACCCGGACAGCAUCAAGAAAAAUGGGGGGCACCGCAAGGGGAUGAAGUUGGCGCUGGCCAUUGUGCUCACGCUCUUCUUCUCGGUUCUUGCAUUGCUUUGCUUGGCACUUGUGUGCAGGAAGCCGAGGAAGAAGAGGGGUGACACAUUUCCCGUUGAUAAGCAGCCAUCGUCAUUCAAAGACGAGCCUGGGACAUCAGGGCCAUUUGCGUUCCAGACUGAUUCCACAACUUGGGUUGCCGAUGUCAAGGUUGCCACAUCCGUUCCAGUUGUCAUAUUUGAGAAGCCAUUGCUGAGCUUCACCUUCGCCGACCUCUUGGCAGCCACAUCAAACUUUGACAGGGGAACUUUGCUGGCAGAUGGGAGAUUUGGGCCAGUGUACACAGGGUUCCUCCCUGGUGGAAUUCAGGUUGCUGUGAAGGUGUUGGUCCAUGGUUCGGCAAUGGCAGAUGAGGAUGCAGCGAGAGAGCUUGAGCGGCUGGGACGGAUCAAACAUUCUAACCUGGUUCCUUUGACCGGCUACUGCUUAGCAGGAGGCCAAAGAAUCGCGAUAUAUGAGUACAUGGAGAAUGGCAAUUUGCACAACUUGCUGCAUGAUUUGCCACUAGGCUUGCAGACCACUGAAGACUGGAGCACCGACACAUGGGAGGACAACAAUGGUGGCGUGGCCACUGAAAACAUCACCCCAGAGGGCACUGCUGCAUGGAGGUUCCGACACAAAAUCGCACUAGGCGCUGCAAGGGCACUGGCGUUCCUCCACCAUGGUUGCAUUCCGCAGAUCGUCCACCGGGAUGUGAAGGCAAGCAGCAUCUACUUUGACUAUGCAAUGGAGCCAAGGUUGUCUGAUUUCGGCUUGUCAAUGAUCGCCGGGACUAGCACAGACGGCGACCAUUCCCCUGGCUAUGUGCCGCCGGAGUUCUCCGACCCAGAGAACGCCACGGCGACAUCGAAGUCCGACGUUUACAGCUUCGGCAUCGUGCUGUUUGAGUUGAUCACCGGCAAGAAGCCGCUGGGUGAUGAGUACCCUGACCAGAAGGAGGCAAGCCUGGUGAGCUGGGCAAGGGCAAUGGUGAAGGCAAACCAAGGGUCGAGCAUCAUCGACCCCAAGAUCCGCGACACGGGACUGGAGAGGCAGAUGGAUGAGGCACUGAGGGUCGCCUACCUCUGCACCGCCGAGCUGCCAUCCAAGAGGCCAACCAUGCAACAGAUCGUUGGCCUAUUAAAGGACAUUGAGCCUAGAGUAGCAGAUGAGAACUGA
RNAcentral lists this ribosomal RNA (2502 nucleotides) under Triticum aestivum (bread wheat). RNAcentral's name for it is "partial small subunit ribosomal RNA". Lineage: Eukaryota; Viridiplantae; Streptophyta; Magnoliopsida; Poales; Poaceae. The record is from RNAcentral.